UGUGCCGAGACUGAAGUUGUCAAGCUAUUUUUAAAAGAACUACAUACAUAACGAAAAGUGUAGUACUGCCCUAUUAAUACAUUUUGCAGUCUGAAAACCAGGCACUUCACAGACAGAUGGGUGAUCCCAAUAGUUGGGCCCACCACUGUGUGCGGUUCGAUGGAAUGAAGCUAAUAAAAUAACCGACGCGACGAGCUAAAAUGUUCGAAGGCAACUAAAAGCAGCAAACGGAAAUUCUUAGCCGCCGCCGACCGGCAAACAAUCGCAUCAGAAAAAAAACCAAAAGCAGAGAAGAAAACUUUCGAGAUGUUCCCAAUUGCAGAAGCUCACAAAUCUAUUUUAAAGGUGGUGGUUACUUCAGAAGUUCUGAGAUACCUUGCAAUAUAUAAAACCAUGAAGACCCUGAUAUUUUGGAGUAUAAGCGAUGUUUUUUCGAAAACUGGAACGUUGAUUUUUAUCACAUGAAGAGCUUAAGUCGUUAAGUCGAGUUUGAGGGACACAUGUCAAGAACCGCGUGCGAGCGAGAUGGAGCUAAUGGAGCACUUAUCUGGUAGCCCGGCGACUCCAGUUCAAGAGCCCAAUAUUUUUGUAUUUUUUUUUCUUGGGUGAUAAGAUAGUCGCGGGAACAGGAUAGUUGUAUAAGCGGUAUAUUGAUAAGACGACCGACAAUAUAUUGGCCAAAUCAUUUAAUCAAUUAAUUGCUGACAAAAACGAGCAAAAGUUCGAAGGUCAACAGGCGACAUUGCGAAAGUGUCCGUGACAUUGACCUCGACAUCUGGAAACUCAAAUAUCACCAAAACAAAAAAAAUAACACCAUAUCUAUGUAUGUAUGUCACCAUUUGACCCAGUUAAUCGAAAAUCGUGGAAUUAACGAAAAGGAAUGAAGGAAAUUAUUUGUAUUAUUGUAUCGUCAUGAGUGGGAAAGAGAGGUGGCGCAAACAAAGCUAGACAGAGACGGGGCGUACACGCGUUCAACAAACUUGAUUAACGGUUUAUCGAUUUGCCAUCGCACUCGCACAAACACGUGCUUUGUUUGUCGCUCCUAUUGAUUUUUACGACAUUGCAUGGAACUGAAAUA
Molecule: long non-coding RNA, 1078 nt
Organism: Drosophila santomea
Lineage: Eukaryota; Metazoa; Arthropoda; Insecta; Diptera; Drosophilidae
Exons: 3
Source: RefSeq, a predicted model, not a curated record